Molecule: ribosomal RNA, 348 nt
Filed under: Salmonella enterica subsp. enterica serovar Newport
Lineage: Bacteria; Pseudomonadati; Pseudomonadota; Gammaproteobacteria; Enterobacterales; Enterobacteriaceae
Description: partial 23S ribosomal RNA
Rfam family: Bacterial large subunit ribosomal RNA
Source: RNAcentral
UGUUUCGGCUAGGGGGCCAUCCCGGCUUACCAACCCGAUGCAAACUGCGAAUACCGGAGAAUGUUAUCACGGGAGACACACGGCGGGUGCUAACGUCCGUCGUGAAGAGGGAAACAACCCAGACCGCCAGCUAAGGUCCCAAAGUCAUGGUUAAGUGGGAAACGAUGUGGGAAGGCCCAGACAGCCAGGAUGUUGGCUUAGAAGCAGCCAUCAUUUAAAGAAAGCGUAAUAGCUCACUGGUCGAGUCGGCCUGCGCGGAAGAUGUAACGGGGCUAAACCAUGCACCGAAGCUGCGGCAGCGACACUGUGUGUUGUUGGGUAGGGGAGCGUUCUGUAAGCCUGUGAAGG